GGAGUUAUGCCUGAGCACCAAAGGACCACUUUGAUAGAGUGAACUACGGGGGUUAAAAUCCCCCUGACUCCU
RNAcentral lists this transfer RNA (72 nucleotides) under Sundasalanx sp. Chao Phraya. Its description in RNAcentral is "tRNA-Ile". It matches the Rfam family "tRNA". Rfam says of the family: Transfer RNA (tRNA) molecules are approximately 80 nucleotides in length. The record is from RNAcentral. Lineage: Eukaryota; Metazoa; Chordata; Actinopteri; Clupeiformes; Clupeidae.